This 251-nucleotide ribosomal RNA is filed under the name uncultured bacterium. Its description in RNAcentral is "partial 16S ribosomal RNA". It matches the Rfam family "Bacterial small subunit ribosomal RNA", at positions 524 to 776 of the family's 1533-position model. The record is from RNAcentral.
UACGUAGGGGCAAGCGUUGUCCGGAAUCAUUGGGCGUAAAGAGCGCGUAGGCGGUCCGGUAAGUCCGCUCUGAAAGCCCGGGGCUCAACCCCGGGAGGCGGGUGGAUACUGUCAAGCUCGAGUCCGGAAGAGGCGAGUGGAAUUCCUGGUGUAGCGGUGAAAUGCGCAGAUAUCAGGAGGAACACCAAUGGCGAAGGCAGCUCGCUGGGACGUGACUGACGCUGAGACGCGAAAGCGUGGGAGCAAACAGG